AGCUUUGCCAGGCAUGGGAGUGAGCAGUGCUCCGGCGGACUUCCGGCACGCUGCC
This 55-nucleotide non-coding RNA is filed under the name Lingulaulax polyedra. Lineage: Eukaryota; Dinophyceae; Gonyaulacales; Lingulodiniaceae. The record is from RNAcentral.